GGCGGCGCAGGCGCGCACCCCCCGGCCUCCCUCGCCCGUCAGUCUGCCGCCGGCCGUGGAGCGCCCUGCCUGUUCGGAGCGCCGAGUCGCGCGCCGCGAGUGUUCCCAACUCCAAGUGAUGACGACUUGUGACUAGUGCCAUGUUCGUGCUCCGCUGUGCCGUCGUCGCGGCCCUGCUCGCCUCCGCCGCCGCCGCCUGGCAGGAGAACGUCCGCCCCAAGGUCUUCGCGCAAUUAGGAGUCGAUGACACGCACAAGUUCCUGGGCAACGAAACACACACAGACUACUUCAGGCUACUGCUACGAGACGGCAAUUAUUUACUUGUCGGCGGCAGAAAUGUUGUGUACAACUUGAGUCUAACCGACUUGAACGAGCAGAGAAGGCUUGUGUGGUACUCAACAGAAUCUGACAUCGACAUGUGUGUCGUCAAAGGAAAAGAUGAGGAGAUAUGCCAGAACUACAUUCGCGUGCUGGUGUCCCUCGCUCCAGGGCGGCUGCUGGUCUGUGGCACCAACAGCUUCAAGCCCUUCUGCAGAGAGUACAGCGUGCAACGAGACUCCUAUCACAUGGAGAAGGAGAAAUCGGGCCAAGCGGUCUGUCCACAUGACCCUGAACAUAACUCUACGGCUGUAUAUGCUGAUGGGGAGCUAUACUCGGGUACCGUGGCGGACUUCAGUGGCAUGGAGCCAAUAAUUUACAGGGAGCCGUUGCAAACAGAGCCCUAUGACUCCAUGACGCUAAAUGCACCUGAUUUCGUGAAUUCAUUAGUGCACGGGAACUUCGUGUACUUCUUCUUUCGGGAGACCGCCAUCGAAUACAUCAACUGUGGAAAGGCGGUAUUCUCUCGAGUGGCCCGCGUAUGCCGUGAUGAUCGCGGCGGACCACACCGGUUCAAGCAACGCUGGACUUCGUUUCUCAAGUCCCGCCUCAACUGCUCCGUUGCAGGAGACUUUCCUUUCUACUUUAACGAGAUUCAGUCAACAACAGAAUUGAUUGAAGGCGUGUACGGUGGCCUCAACGCCCAGUUAAUCUACGGAACUUUCACUACACCCCCUAACAGCAUAUCAGGGAGUGCUGUCUGUGCGUUCAGCAUGCAGGAUAUUGCUGAUACAUUCGAAGGCACUUUCAAGGAACAGAGCGCGAUAAACUCCAAUUGGCUUCCUGUAAAUAGUGCAAAGGUUCCAGAACCUCGCCCCGGCACUUGUCACAAUGACUCGAGACAACUACCAGAUCAAACGUUAAAUUUUAUCAAAACCCAUGCAUUGAUGGAUGAAUCGGUGCCGGCCUUCUUUGGGGAGCCAAUCGUCAUCAGAACUAGUUUUCACUACAGAUUCACGCAAAUCGCGGUAGAUCCACAAGUGAAAACACCCGGUGGCAAGGCUUAUGAUGUGCUGUUUAUUGGAACAGAUAACGGCAAAAUCAUCAAAGCAAUCAACGCAGUUUCCUAUGACUCAAACAAACGUGCAGUACCAGUGGUUAUAGAAGAGCUACAAGCUUUUGCCGCGGGGUCGCCUGUCCGGGCCUUGAGAGUGGCGAGAGCUGGCCGAGACGCCGCGAGACUGAUCGCAGUGUCGGAUAGAGAAGUGCUGAGUCUGAGACUACAUCGGUGUUCCAGCGAAAAAAUUAGUUCUUGCUCGGAAUGCGUAGCUCUCCAAGACCCAUACUGUGCGUGGGACAAGCAGGCCGGUCGAUGCCGUGCCUACUCGCACGGAGUGAGCCGCUGGCUCGACGAGAACUCCUUCUACCAGAGCGUCAGCACUGGGAGCCAUGCAGCUUGCCCUCAUAGUAAAGAUGCAGGAGCAGUUGGGGGCCUCAGCUCUGGUCUAUAUGAUGACGCGCGAGGCGAGAACAAAGGAGAGGUCAUCAACAUCGUGCAGGAUAAAGAUGGGAAAGGGAACAACAAUAAUAAUGAAGGACCAGAAGUCCUAGCAGCUGACCCGCCGCCAGCGGCGUACUCCGUAGAAACCUUAGCGCUAGCGGUCGCAGCGGGAGCUCUAGCUGCUCUGGGCGCCGGUUUCGCAGCGGGUUACAUCUGCGGGCGACGCUGCAAGAAGGAUGAUGACGACAACAUGCCCUACCCUGACACUGAGUACGAGUACUUCGAGCAACGACAGAACAUCAACAGGAUCCAAGCGGAACCCAAGCUCCUCCAACAAGUGGAGGAAGUGACGUACGCAGAGCCCGUGCUGGCCCCGCAACCCAAGCCCGCCUCCCCCCGCGCCACGCUGCGCAAGCACCCCCCCUACCACCCGCACCACGAGACGCUGUUCCAGUUCCAACCGGAUUCUUACCGUCGGGACAAUUUCGGCACGCUACGCUCGCACCAGGUCAAUGGUGAUGGGUACCGGCGCGGGAACGACAAUGGCUUCUCGACCACGCGCUCAGUGAAAAAAGUGUACCUCUGAGAAACAAGCGGGGCGGACGCGCGCGACCAAAUACAUCAUCAUAAACCUAAUACGCACCACCACCACACGUUGGUGUCGCAGCGCAGCAGCGGGUCGGGCUCGGCGUCCGCGAGCGGGUCUUCAUCGUCGCCGUCGCCGCCCUCGUCCUCGCCGUCGCCGUCGGGCGAGCGCCCGCCCACGCCGCCGCCGCCGGCGCCGCAGCCCUGCGCGUACAUCUACCGCAACUAGCGCGCUCGCCCCGCCGCCCGCCCCACUGACCCCGCCAGCCCACUGGAACGUUCAAACGAACCACAGAGUUCUGACGCGUUCUGUACGAAUCGAGGAGUUUCCCCGAAUGUGUGAUACGAACAUUACAAAAAGACAUUCCAGAAUGGUGCGUGAUCGUUAUUCGAACUGUGAAGGAUGGGUCACAUUGUUAUUGUACCGAUUGAUAGUGAUUAGUAUUAGUUCGCUGAAUUGACUGAUGGUACGCGAACAAUGAAUAAAACCCAGCUAAGGCACUGGGAACGAGAAAAACAUUCCGGUUACUGCAACGUUUACUAAAUAUGGUUUUACUCCCUGAAUAUAAGAAUUAAGCAAGUUGUUGCUAACAAUUUAAAACAAAAAAGUUACACAAUGACCUAUCGACCGUCCGUAAGAUGUAGUGAUAAAUAAACCGGUGCCAUGAGUCAGUUCAGCGUCAACGAUUAACACUUGUUGGAAGAUGUAACGUUACAAUGCAUCGUACAAGUGAGUUGCCUAUAAAAUUAGAAACUUAGAGCCUAUUUUUACAAAUUCAAAAAAAAUUUGAAAGAUAGGCUGAGAAAUAUAGCGUGUUAUUCGUGUAAUUUGUUACUACUUGGAUUGUAUACAAAGUCACCGUUUUCGUGACGGAAACAUUCUUCCAUGCAAAACAAAAUAAUAUACGUACUCAUGAUUAUCCAGAAUUAAAACAAAGUUGACGGUAUGUAUAUCGGAGGAGGUGACAAAAAUAUUUUUUUUAAAAGACGAUACAAUAUCGAUUCGUGUAUGUAUGAUGGUGGAAAAAACUGUAACAAAUUUGUAGAUUGUUUAGAAUAUACAUAGUUUACUUAUAUUUUAGGUAAAAAUAUAAGUUUUGUUGGUAACAUGUUGAUGACUAGUUAGUGUGAACUUGUGAAUGGCAUUGCAGAUUUUCUUUGAGGUUCGCACUGCGAUAAAUUGAGCGUUGUGAUUGAAAAAAAUCAUGCAAUGAAUUCACAAAUCGCUUUUUACUACUAUUAGUAGCACGAGAUUAAGUAUGAUAAGAAUUUCUAAAACUGAAAUUAAUAUCCAGUAUAAAUCGACAACAUUGUGCCAAGACUGUACUUAAUUUGCUUGUAUUCAUCUUUUCAUAGGUGUUUACAGCCUUAUGUUACUGCAUGUUUACAUUAAGAUUGUGACUGGUAAAAAAAUCACUGGCGCACCAAUAUUAGAGUGAUUUUGCACUAUUUAAACAUGUUUUUGGGUCACUGCCUGUAAUAAAACGUUUCUGGUAAUUUAUUUCCAGUAAAAAGAAACAAGCAAUUAUUUUUUUAUUUCGUAAAAUCUAUAAAGAUAUAUUUGCUGUGCUUGUAUGUAUAGGUAAACUUAAGUACUAUAUUCUUUUCACUUUUACAUGUUUUAAUUUAAUCAUUUUAAUUCAUAGUUUGAAUAUGAAUUUGCCGUUAAUUUAGUUUAAAACUUCAAAAUGUUGUCGAAUUGUAUUAAGGAAAUCGUUUAACAUUAAAGAUGUAAACGGUGCAGAGAAAAAUAUGGAUAUAAAUUAUAUUUACCCUGUAUAAAAUAAUAAUUAUGUAAAUCCUGAUACUCAUUCAUUGAUUAAAGUGCUUCUUAUGGGUGUAUCUAGAUUAUUAGGGGAUCGUUUUGAUAAUUAUCCGAUAAUGUUAUAGAAUUAGUGAUUAUGUAUACAUAGGUAGAUACUAGAGCGUAAGCGCAUUAAGGUGCGAUAUUGCCAAUUUAGAGUGUUGGUGCGCCAUUUGUAAAAUACUGUGAUCUGAUUGAUCAUUGUGUAAAUACAUUUUGAGAUAAGGAUAAGAAUACACGAGAAUAUUUAACCACUCUUAGACUUCAAUACAAAAAAUAUUCAGUGUAUCCUUGUCUUUAUAUGAUUCUUUUAGUCAACGGUUGAUUCUAAAUUAAAAAUCCAGACAUGUGGGCCAAACUUUGAAAAUUCUGUUCGAUAACGUUCCUGUUGCUAAUUUAUAAAUGAUCUUAAUUAAACGCUUCAACUAGCUAGCAAGUUGUUUCCAAACAGAAAGGUUUAUACUCAUUUUUCAAUAAUAAUUGUUGACAAUUUAAUGUGUGUAAAGAAAAUGUCAAUUCUAUUUGUAAUGAUCUAGUGCCUAAGUGUGUGUGGCAGGAUUGUAAUGUUCGUUGUCUUGACCACUCUGGCUUAGAAAUUUGAGAAAGUACUUACCUACGCAUCGAUUAAUACAAUUUAUUCCCAUCAAUUUACUAAAACGAUACUAUUUUUGCGUAAAAACAUCUGUGAACAAAAAAAUCUCAAAGAAUGUCAGUACACGAUCUAACUAGAUUUAUCCCUGACUUAAUAAUAGCAGCAAAUAUCAAGCAAUAAAUAAAUAAAAAUUACUUUUAAAACAAAAUGUAUAGUUGUUACAGACGCACGCAAGUAGGUAAGUACUUGCUCAAGUUACUAAACGUGUGUAAAUGGUACACUGUUGAAGCUGGGUCAAAUUUUCGUUUGGACUGUCGUUUCAAGAGGACAUUAGAGUAGUUACAAUAGAUGGAAAGUUUCAAUGAAACGCAAAGUUAACUUUUUAUUACACUCGAAGGCAUUCUGAAAUUGCCUUGUUAAUAGGUACUCAAGUUUAUUUCACAAUUAAUAUACCAAAGAUGCCAUGAACUUUUAAAGUAAUAUAUUAAUUUAUUUAUAGAAGUAAUUAAUUAAACGUAUUACCUAAUUAGUGAAAAUGUAAUAUUGUUAUUUUUAAUAAACGUAACUGCCAACUUUCGUAUAUUAUAUUUUGAUAAUAAAAACGCACACAUAUUUGUUUGUUUCUAAAUAAUGAAUCAUUUAAUAAUGUAGGCGCUUUUAUAUUCGGACGAAUGUUAAGUAGGUACAGUAUGUAUUUAUUAUUUGAAUGAUUAAUUAUAAUAGAACUUUGAAAUCGGCAACUUAUGCCCUAGGGCACGGUCUAGGGUGAACAGGAGAGGUCAAGGAGGGAGAAAAAAUACACGGUUUUAGAGCUGUAACUAAGUAAAUCGAUAACUAUCCAUUUCGACCAUUUAUAUUGACGCUAGUCUUAGAAUUAAAAAAAUUGAAUCGAGAAAUUAUUGUAUGGAAAAAUUGGAGAACCAGUAGUAAUACCCCGCCGCCGCGCCGCCGCCGCGCCACGUCGCGUCCCACUACUAAUGUCUCACAGAUUCGAGUUUAUGUCAUUUAAUUUUUUUAUCAAAAAAAAGUGAUCAAGUGCGAGUCGGACUCGCAUGCGAAAGGUUCCGUACCAUCGUACAAGACUUACUGAACAACUUAAUGUAGAACUCUGCAAGUUAAUAACCGUCUGCGCCAUCUGUAUGCGAUUUAGUGAAUUAAACUUUUUGGUAACACAUUUUUUUACCCGACUACGGCAAAGCCGAAAGGAAGGGUUAU
RNA transcript from Maniola jurtina (meadow brown), 6015 nucleotides. It is a transcript of the gene named semaphorin-1A, with no coding region annotated. NCBI's taxonomy places the organism in Eukaryota, Metazoa, Arthropoda, Insecta, Lepidoptera, Nymphalidae. The record is from RefSeq and is a predicted model, not a curated record. The transcript is spliced from 17 exons.